This 76-nucleotide transfer RNA is filed under the name Candidatus Berkelbacteria bacterium CG_4_10_14_0_2_um_filter_35_9_33_12. Its description in RNAcentral is "tRNA-Met". It matches the Rfam family "tRNA". From Rfam's summary of the family: Transfer RNA (tRNA) molecules are approximately 80 nucleotides in length. Their secondary structure includes four short double-helical elements and three loops (D, anti-codon, and T loops). Lineage: Bacteria; Candidatus Berkelbacteria. RNAcentral also lists the same sequence under 4 other names. The record is from RNAcentral.
AGCGGGGUGGAGCAGUGGUCAGCUCGUCAGGCUCAUAACCUGAAGGUCGUGGGUUCAAAUCCUACCCCCGCCACCA